This is a non-coding RNA of Phrynosoma platyrhinos (Desert horned lizard), 72 nucleotides long. The record is from the annotation of a GenBank genome assembly. Lineage: Eukaryota; Metazoa; Chordata; Lepidosauria; Squamata; Phrynosomatidae.
GCCAGCAGGGCAUAGUGGUUUGAGUGACAGACUAGGACUCGGGAGACCAGGGUUCGAAUCCCUGCUCAGCCA